ACUUGGCCCAAGCUUCUCGAACACCUGGUAUCACCAUUAGAGUUCAUUCACAGGAAGGUUCCGUUUAGUUCCAAACUUCGAAAAAAUCCACAUGAGUAAACAAACUACACAAACACUAUACACGGAAUUGGAUUUCUGUCACUUGGGCAUCAAACAAAGAAAGGUAGCCAGAAAUAUUAUGAUUCAUUCAUUUGUAACACUAACAAACCUCACAGGUCACUGAACAUAGAACCAAUUAAAUAUUAGAGAUGCAUUUGAACGGUGGUGGAAAUCAAUGAGCUUAGUUGGGAUACUUACAAUGCAAAUAUGAUUUCGGUAA
Long non-coding RNA from Arabidopsis thaliana (thale cress), 319 nucleotides. RefSeq annotates it as other RNA. NCBI's taxonomy places the organism in Eukaryota, Viridiplantae, Streptophyta, Magnoliopsida, Brassicales, Brassicaceae. The record is from RefSeq. The transcript has a single exon.